RNAcentral lists this ribosomal RNA (1540 nucleotides) under Serratia plymuthica. RNAcentral's name for it is "bacterial SSU rRNA". It matches the Rfam family "Bacterial small subunit ribosomal RNA". Lineage: Bacteria; Pseudomonadati; Pseudomonadota; Gammaproteobacteria; Enterobacterales; Yersiniaceae. The record is from RNAcentral.
AAAUUGAAGAGUUUGAUCAUGGCUCAGAUUGAACGCUGGCGGCAGGCCUAACACAUGCAAGUCGAGCGGUAGCACAGGAGAGCUUGCUCUCUGGGUGACGAGCGGCGGACGGGUGAGUAAUGUCUGGGAAACUGCCUGAUGGAGGGGGAUAACUACUGGAAACGGUAGCUAAUACCGCAUAACGUCUACGGACCAAAGUGGGGACCUUCGGGCCUCACGCCAUCAGAUGUGCCCAGAUGGGAUUAGCUAGUAGGUGGGGUAAUGGCUCACCUAGGCGACGAUCCCUAGCUGGUCUGAGAGGAUGACCAGCCACACUGGAACUGAGACACGGUCCAGACUCCUACGGGAGGCAGCAGUGGGGAAUAUUGCACAAUGGGCGCAAGCCUGAUGCAGCCAUGCCGCGUGUGUGAAGAAGGCCUUAGGGUUGUAAAGCACUUUCAGCGAGGAGGAAGGGCAGUGUGUUAAUAGCACAUUGCAUUGACGUUACUCGCAGAAGAAGCACCGGCUAACUCCGUGCCAGCAGCCGCGGUAAUACGGAGGGUGCAAGCGUUAAUCGGAAUUACUGGGCGUAAAGCGCACGCAGGCGGUUUGUUAAGUCAGAUGUGAAAUCCCCGCGCUUAACGUGGGAACUGCAUUUGAAACUGGCAAGCUAGAGUCUUGUAGAGGGGGUAGAAUUCCAGGUGUAGCGGUGAAAUGCGUAGAGAUCUGGAGGAAUACCGGUGGCGAAGGCGGCCCCCUGGACAAAGACUGACGCUCAGGUGCGAAAGCGUGGGGAGCAAACAGGAUUAGAUACCCUGGUAGUCCACGCUGUAAACGAUGUCGAUUUGGAGGUUGUGCCCUUGAGGCGUGGCUUCCGGAGCUAACGCGUUAAAUCGACCGCCUGGGGAGUACGGCCGCAAGGUUAAAACUCAAAUGAAUUGACGGGGGCCCGCACAAGCGGUGGAGCAUGUGGUUUAAUUCGAUGCAACGCGAAGAACCUUACCUACUCUUGACAUCCAGAGAAUUCGCUAGAGAUAGCUUAGUGCCUUCGGGAACUCUGAGACAGGUGCUGCAUGGCUGUCGUCAGCUCGUGUUGUGAAAUGUUGGGUUAAGUCCCGCAACGAGCGCAACCCUUAUCCUUUGUUGCCAGCGAUUCGGUCGGGAACUCAAAGGAGACUGCCGGUGAUAAACCGGAGGAAGGUGGGGAUGACGUCAAGUCAUCAUGGCCCUUACGAGUAGGGCUACACACGUGCUACAAUGGCGUAUACAAAGAGAAGCGAACUCGCGAGAGCAAGCGGACCUCAUAAAGUACGUCGUAGUCCGGAUUGGAGUCUGCAACUCGACUCCAUGAAGUCGGAAUCGCUAGUAAUCGUAGAUCAGAAUGCUACGGUGAAUACGUUCCCGGGCCUUGUACACACCGCCCGUCACACCAUGGGAGUGGGUUGCAAAAGAAGUAGGUAGCUUAACCUUCGGGAGGGCGCUUACCACUUUGUGAUUCAUGACUGGGGUGAAGUCGUAACAAGGUAACCGUAGGGGAACCUGCGGUUGGAUCACCUCCUUA